CCCUUAGAUGUUCUGGGCCGCACGCGCGCUACACUGAUUCAUGCAACAAGUUUUGUCCUUGGCUGAUAGGCCUGGGUAAUCUUUGAACGUGAAUCGUGAUGGGGAUAGAUGAUUGCAAUUAUGGGUCUUCAACGAGGAAUUCCUAGUAAACGCAAGUCAUCAGCUUGCAUUGAUUACGUCCCUGCCCUUUGUACACACCGCCCGUCGCACCUACCGAUUGAAUGGUCCGGUGAAAUCUCGGGACGGCGGCUUGGUCGCUUGCGUCCGACUGCUGAAACUUGAUUAAACCAUAUCAUUUAGAGGAAGGUGAAGUCGUAACA
RNAcentral lists this ribosomal RNA (320 nucleotides) under uncultured eukaryote. RNAcentral describes it as "partial 18S ribosomal RNA". It matches the Rfam family "Eukaryotic small subunit ribosomal RNA", at positions 1470 to 1796 of the family's 1831-position model. The record is from RNAcentral.